CUUUAUUCUUAGCCUUUUGGCUAAGAUCUAGCAUCUGUUCUUGUCAGUUUAAUAUCUGAUAUGACCUUUAUCCAAGGACAAUAUAUUAAAUGGAUUUGGGGAGCAGGGGGAUGGAAUAGAGCUUGCUCCAUCCACUCCAUGCAUUGAGCUGGUACUGCAGUGCCUCCAGGAACGGGCACCCCCU
Small nuclear RNA from Zalophus californianus (California sea lion), 184 nucleotides. Its record names the gene U2. It matches the Rfam family "U2 spliceosomal RNA". Rfam says of the family: U2 is a small nuclear RNA (snRNA) component of the spliceosome (involved in pre-mRNA splicing). Complementary binding between U2 snRNA (in an area lying towards the 5' end but 3' to hairpin I) and the branchpoint sequence (BPS) of the intron results the bulging out of an unpaired adenosine, on the BPS, which initiates a nucleophilic attack at the intronic 5' splice site, thus starting the first of two transesterification reactions that mediate splicing. NCBI's taxonomy places the organism in Eukaryota, Metazoa, Chordata, Mammalia, Carnivora, Otariidae. The record is from Ensembl.